Molecule: ribosomal RNA, 437 nt
Filed under: uncultured Alphaproteobacteria bacterium
Lineage: Bacteria; Pseudomonadati; Pseudomonadota; Alphaproteobacteria
Description: bacterial SSU rRNA
Rfam family: Bacterial small subunit ribosomal RNA
Source: RNAcentral
GAGUUUGAUCGUGGCUCAGAACGAACGCUGGCGGCAGGCUUAACACAUGCAAGUCGAGCGCCCCGCAAGGGGAGCGGCAGACGGGUGAGUAACACGUGGGAAUCUACCCAGCUCUACGGAACAACCCAGGGAAACUUGGACUAAUACCGUAUACGUCCUCCGGGAGAAAGAUUUAUCGGAGUUGGAUGAGCCCGCGUUGGAUUAGCUAGAUGGUGGGGUAAUGGCCUACCAUGGCGACGAUCCAUAGCUGGUCUGAGAGGAUGAUCAGCCACACUGGGACUGAGACACGGCCCAGACUCCUACGGGAGGCAGCAGUGGGGAAUAUUGGACAAUGGGCGAAAGCCUGAUCCAGCCAUGCCGCGUGAGUGAUGAAGGCCCUAGGGUUGUAAAGCUCUUUCACCGGGGAAGAUAAUGACGGUACCCGGAGAAGAAGCCCC